UACGUAGGGUGCGAGCGUUGUCCGGAAUUAUUGGGCGUAAAGGGCUCGUAGGCGGUUUGUCGCGUCGGGAGUGAAAACCAGGUGCUUAACACCUGGCUUGCUUUCGAUACGGGCAGACUAGAGGUAUUCAGGGGAGAACGGAAUUCCUGGUGUAGCGGUGAAAUGCGCAGAUAUCAGGAGGAACACCAGUGGCGAAGGCGGUCUGCUGGGAACUGACCUGACGCUGAGGAGCGAAAGCGUGGGGAGCGAACAGG
Molecule: ribosomal RNA, 254 nt
Filed under: uncultured bacterium
Lineage: Bacteria
Description: partial 16S ribosomal RNA
Rfam family: Bacterial small subunit ribosomal RNA
Source: RNAcentral